CACGUAGGGCGCAAGCGUUGUUCGGAAUCAUUGGGCGUAAAGCGCGUGUAGGCGGUCCGGUAAGUCCGCUGUGAAAGUCGGGGGCUCAACCCUCGGAUGCCGGUGGAUACUGUCGGGCUUGAGUACGGAAGAGGCGAGUGGAAUUCCUGGUGUAGCGGUGAAAUGCGCAGAUAUCAGGAGGAACACCAAUUGCGAAGGCAGCUCGCUGGGACGUUACUGACGCUGAGACGCGAAAGCGUGGGGAGCAAACAGG
Molecule: ribosomal RNA, 253 nt
Filed under: uncultured bacterium
Lineage: Bacteria
Description: partial 16S ribosomal RNA
Rfam family: Bacterial small subunit ribosomal RNA
Source: RNAcentral